This 1576-nucleotide ribosomal RNA is filed under the name Salmonella enterica subsp. enterica serovar Cerro. RNAcentral's name for it is "bacterial LSU rRNA". It matches the Rfam family "Bacterial large subunit ribosomal RNA", at positions 140 to 1756 of the family's 2925-position model. The record is from RNAcentral. Lineage: Bacteria; Pseudomonadati; Pseudomonadota; Gammaproteobacteria; Enterobacterales; Enterobacteriaceae.
UCGUCACACUAUCAUUAACUGAAUCCAUAGGUUAAUGAGGCGAACCGGGGGAACUGAAACAUCUAAGUACCCCGAGGAAAAGAAAUCAACCGAGAUUCCCCCAGUAGCGGCGAGCGAACGGGGAGGAGCCCAGAGCCUGAAUCAGCAUGUGUGUUAGUGGAAGCGUCUGGAAAGGCGCGCGAUACAGGGUGACAGCCCCGUACACAAAAGCGCAUGUGCUGUGAGCUCGAUGAGUAGGGCGGGACACGUGGUAUCCUGUCUGAAUAUGGGGGGACCAUCCUCCAAGGCUAAAUACUCCUGACUGACCGAUAGUGAACCAGUACCGUGAGGGAAAGGCGAAAAGAACCCCGGCGAGGGGAGUGAAAAAGAACCUGAAACCGUGUACGUACAAGCAGUGGGAGCACCCUUUUGGGUGUGACUGCGUACCUUUUGUAUAAUGGGUCAGCGACUUAUAUUCUGUAGCAAGGUUAACCGAAUAGGGGAGCCGGAGGGAAACCGAGUCUUAAUUGGGCGUUAAGUUGCAGGGUAUAGACCCGAAACCCGGUGAUCUAGCCAUGGGCAGGUUGAAGGUUGGGUAACACUAACUGGAGGACCGAACCGACUAAUGUUGAAAAAUUAGCGGAUGACCUGUGGCUGGGGGUGAAAGGCCAAUCAAACCGGGAGAUAGCUGGUUCUCCCCGAAAGCUAUUUAGGUAGCGCCUCGUGAAUUCAUCUCCGGGGGUAGAGCACUGUUUCGGCUAGGGGGCCAUCCCGGCUUACCAACCCGAUGCAAACUGCGAAUACCGGAGAAUGUUAUCACGGGAGACACACGGCGGGUGCUAACGUCCGUCGUGAAGAGGGAAACAACCCAGACCGCCAGCUAAGGUCCCAAAGUCAUGGUUAAGUGGGAAACGAUGUGGGAAGGCCCAGACAGCCAGGAUGUUGGCUUAGAAGCAGCCAUCAUUUAAAGAAAGCGUAAUAGCUCACUGGUCGAGUCGGCCUGCGCGGAAGAUGUAACGGGGCUAAACCAUGCACCGAAGCUGCGGCAGCGACACUAUGUGUUGUUGGGUAGGGGAGCGUUCUGUAAGCCUGUGAAGGUGUGCUGUGAGGCAUGCUGGAGGUAUCAGAAGUGCGAAUGCUGACAUAAGUAACGAUAAAGCGGGUGAAAAGCCCGCUCGCCGGAAGACCAAGGGUUCCUGUCCAACGUUAAUCGGGGCAGGGUGAGUCGACCCCUAAGGCGAGGCCGAAAGGCGUAGUCGAUGGGAAACGGGUUAAUAUUCCCGUACUUGGUGUUACUGCGAAGGGGGGACGGAGAAGGCUAUGUUGGCCGGGCGACGGUUGUCCCGGUUUAAGCGUGUAGGUGUGUGUUCCAGGUAAAUCCGGUUCACUUUAACACUGAGGCGUGAUGACGAGGCACUACGGUGCUGAAGCAACAAAUGCCCUGCUUCCAGGAAAAGCCUCUAAGCAUCAGGUAACAUCAAAUCGUACCCCAAACCGACACAGGUGGUCAGGUAGAGAAUACCAAGGCGCUUGAGAGAACUCGGGUGAAGGAACUAGGCAAAAUGGUGCCGUAACUUCGGGAGAAGGCACGCUGACA